GGUUAAGCGACUAAGCGUACACGGUGGAUGCCCUGGCAGUCAGAGGCGAUGAAGGACGUGCUAAUCUGCGAUAAGCGUCGGUAAGGUGAUAUGAACCGUUAUAACCGGCGAUUUCCGAAUGGGGAAACCCAGUGUGUUUCGACACACUAUCAUUAACUGAAUCCAUAGGUUAAUGAGGCGAACCGGGGGAACUGAAACAUCUAAGUACCCCGAGGAAAAGAAAUCAACCGAGAUUCCCCCAGUAGCGGCGAGCGAACGGGGAGCAGCCCAGAGCCUGAAUCAGUGUGUGUGUUAGUGGAAGCGUCUGGAAAGGCGCGCGAUACAGGGUGACAGCCCCGUACACAAAAAUGCACAUGCUGUGAGCUCGAUGAGUAGGGCGGGACACGUGGUAUCCUGUCUGAAUAUGGGGGGACCAUCCUCCAAGGCUAAAUACUCCUGACUGACCGAUAGUGAACCAGUACCGUGAGGGAAAGGCGAAAAGAACCCCGGCGAGGGGAGUGAAAAAGAACCUGAAACCGUGUACGUACAAGCAGUGGGAGCACGCUUCGGCGUGUGACUGCGUACCUUUUGUAUAAUGGGUCAGCGACUUAUAUUCUGUAGCAAGGUUAACCGAAUAGGGGAGCCGAAGGGAAACCGAGUCUUAACUGGGCGUUAAGUUGCAGGGUAUAGACCCGAAACCCGGUGAUCUAGCCAUGGGCAGGUUGAAGGUUGGGUAACACUAACUGGAGGACCGAACCGACUAAUGUUGAAAAAUUAGCGGAUGACUUGUGGCUGGGGGUGAAAGGCCAAUCAAACCGGGAGAUAGCUGGUUCUCCCCGAAAGCUAUUUAGGUAGCGCCUCGUGAAUUCAUCUCCGGGGGUAGAGCACUGUUUCGGCAAGGGGGUCAUCCCGACUUACCAACCCGAUGCAAACUGCGAAUACCGGAGAAUGUUAUCACGGGAGACACACGGCGGGUGCUAACGUCCGUCGUGAAGAGGGAAACAACCCAGACCGCCAGCUAAGGUCCCAAAGUCAUGGUUAAGUGGGAAACGAUGUGGGAAGGCCCAGACAGCCAGGAUGUUGGCUUAGAAGCAGCCAUCAUUUAAAGAAAGCGUAAUAGCUCACUGGUCGAGUCGGCCUGCGCGGAAGAUGUAACGGGGCUAAACCAUGCACCGAAGCUGCGGCAGCGACGCUGAUGCGUUGUUGGGUAGGGGAGCGUUCUGUAAGCCUGCGAAGGUGUGCUGUGAGGCAUGCUGGAGGUAUCAGAAGUGCGAAUGCUGACAUAAGUAACGAUAAAGCGGGUGAAAAGCCCGCUCGCCGGAAGACCAAGGGUUCCUGUCCAACGUUAAUCGGGGCAGGGUGAGUCGACCCCUAAGGCGAGGCCGAAAGGCGUAGUCGAUGGGAAACAGGUUAAUAUUCCUGUACUUGGUGUUACUGCGAAGGGGGGACGGAGAAGGCUAUGUUGGCCGGGCGACGGUUGUCCCGGUUUAAGCGUGUAGGCUGGUUUUCCAGGCAAAUCCGGAAAAUCAAGGCUGAGGCGUGAUGACGAGGCACUACGGUGCUGAAGCAACAAAUGCCCUGCUUCCAGGAAAAGCCUCUAAGCAUCAGGUAACAUCAAAUCGUACCCCAAACCGACACAGGUGGUCAGGUAGAGAAUACCAAGGCGCUUGAGAGAACUCGGGUGAAGGAACUAGGCAAAAUGGUGCCGUAACUUCGGGAGAAGGCACGCUGAUAUGUAGGUGAAGUCCCUCGCGGAUGGAGCUGAAAUCAGUCGAAGAUACCAGCUGGCUGCAACUGUUUAUUAAAAACACAGCACUGUGCAAACACGAAAGUGGACGUAUACGGUGUGACGCCUGCCCGGUGCCGGAAGGUUAAUUGAUGGGGUCAGCGCAAGCGAAGCUCUUGAUCGAAGCCCCGGUAAACGGCGGCCGUAACUAUAACGGUCCUAAGGUAGCGAAAUUCCUUGUCGGGUAAGUUCCGACCUGCACGAAUGGCGUAAUGAUGGCCAGGCUGUCUCCACCCGAGACUCAGUGAAAUUGAACUCGCUGUGAAGAUGCAGUGUACCCGCGGCAAGACGGAAAGACCCCGUGAACCUUUACUAUAGCUUGACACUGAACAUUGAGCCUUGAUGUGUAGGAUAGGUGGGAGGCUUUGAAGUGUGGACGCCAGUCUGCAUGGAGCCGACCUUGAAAUACCACCCUUUAAUGUUUGAUGUUCUAACGUUGACCCGUAAUCCGGGUUGCGGACAGUGUCUGGUGGGUAGUUUGACUGGGGCGGUCUCCUCCUAAAGAGUAACGGAGGAGCACGAAGGUUGGCUAAUCCUGGUCGGACAUCAGGAGGUUAGUGCAAUGGCAUAAGCCAGCUUGACUGCGAGCGUGACGGCGCGAGCAGGUGCGAAAGCAGGUCAUAGUGAUCCGGUGGUUCUGAAUGGAAGGGCCAUCGCUCAACGGAUAAAAGGUACUCCGGGGAUAACAGGCUGAUACCGCCCAAGAGUUCAUAUCGACGGCGGUGUUUGGCACCUCGAUGUCGGCUCAUCACAUCCUGGGGCUGAAGUAGGUCCCAAGGGUAUGGCUGUUCGCCAUUUAAAGUGGUACGCGAGCUGGGUUUAGAACGUCGUGAGACAGUUCGGUCCCUAUCUGCCGUGGGCGCUGGAGAACUGAGGGGGGCUGCUCCUAGUACGAGAGGACCGGAGUGGACGCAUCACUGGUGUUCGGGUUGUCAUGCCAAUGGCACUGCCCGGUAGCUAAAUGCGGAAGAGAUAAGUGCUGAAAGCAUCUAAGCACGAAACUUGCCCCGAGAUGAGUUCUCCCUGACCCUUUAAGGGUCCUGAAGGAACGUUGAAGACGACGACGUUGAUAGGCCGGGUGUGUAAGCGCAGCGAUGCGUUGAGCUAACCGGUACUAAUGAACCGUGAGGCUUAACCUU
RNAcentral lists this ribosomal RNA (2904 nucleotides) under Escherichia coli. Its description in RNAcentral is "23S ribosomal RNA". It matches the Rfam family "Bacterial large subunit ribosomal RNA". Lineage: Bacteria; Pseudomonadati; Pseudomonadota; Gammaproteobacteria; Enterobacterales; Enterobacteriaceae. The record is from RNAcentral.